UACGGAGGGUGCAAGCGUUAUCCGGAUUCACUGGGUUUAAAGGGUGCGUAGGUGGUUUUGUAAGUCAGUGGUGAAAGCCCGGAGCUCAACUCCGGAACUGCCAUUGAUACUGCUUAACUUGAAUCAACUUGAGGUGGAUGGAAUAUUACAUGUAGCGGUGAAAUGCUUAGAUAUGUAAUAGAACACCGAUUGCGAAGGCAGUUCACUAAGGUUGUAUUGACACUGAGGCACGAAAGCGUGGGGAUCAAAC
Molecule: ribosomal RNA, 250 nt
Filed under: uncultured bacterium
Lineage: Bacteria
Description: partial 16S ribosomal RNA
Rfam family: Bacterial small subunit ribosomal RNA
Source: RNAcentral